This is a long non-coding RNA of Syngnathus acus (greater pipefish), 2017 nucleotides long. RefSeq lists it as uncharacterized. The record is from RefSeq and is a predicted model, not a curated record. NCBI's taxonomy places the organism in Eukaryota, Metazoa, Chordata, Actinopteri, Syngnathiformes, Syngnathidae. The transcript is spliced from 5 exons.
AUCCACUUCAAAUAUUUUUGUAGUUCGAGAAAACUAAUACACUCCGAUUUUAUACAGAACUAAUUUUUUCGAUUUCAAAAGGCAAAAUUCCAAACUUUUAGAAAUGGAAUGGUGGCCGCGUUCCAUAUCGCUCAUCUGUGUGUUCAUCAUCUCCUCUUCCUCUUCCAAAACACAUGGUUCCCACAGGCCGCCCGCUGCGGCGGUUAGCGCCCACUCGAGAGCCGUGACGCGGCGUGUACACAACACCGCAAAUGUCUUCGGACUGUUCCCAGGCAUCGCCUUACCCGCCGCCAUCACUCAUAAGUCUGUCAUGAGGCUCAGCGGGUGGCACAAGCUGUUGCUAUCAUGUACAAACUCAUGAACUGCCCUUUUCUCCUUAAAUAUAAACUUUUAUUAUAUCAUAUUGGUGUGUGUUGAUGUGCAUGACGGGUGUCGAAUCCUGUCAGGGGCGAGGUGGCACUCUCAUCUCCCGUGCCAGGGUGUCUCUACAAGUGUGCGUGGCGUCAGCAAGGGGAACACCUUUCGCCCCUCAACACGCCUUUGAACGCAACACACACAUGCAGGCAUAUAGAGGUCAUUAGCCUUUGCGCCCCGAGACAAGUUGAAAACACGCAAAUGUCAACGUUGCGCUUUUGCAGCUGGGAUGUCCGUGACACAUAUGCACAUUUCCUUCCACCGGUGGAUUUCAUGCAUGUGUACGGAUCAGAUGUUGUGAAUAAAGUGUCGGCGUUUUAAUUAAACGGCAUCUGGAAGCAUCUCGGGUUGCGAUCGUACCUUCGGUGUGUUUCAAAGACUGUCGACUAAAGUUCCGCAAACAAGUCGAGACAAAACCGGUUGAGCAGAGAUGCAGCACUUUUUCAACCUUCACCCUAACCCCUUCACGCCUCCAUCGGGAUGUCAACGCCAAAAAUAUGACGUUAUUCUUCCCAAAACGGAACCCUCCUCCUUCUGACUGACCGCAAGGGCUCUCGUCAAGUACGCAAAGCGACAGCGUUUUGGAGCAGCUGGAGAGUUUUUCAAAAAAUCUGGCAUGAAAUAAAUCUGGCCAAGUGGGAUAUUGUUGCCAUGAAAAGGAAGACCCCAAAACUGCCCAUCUUUGUGUCGCUGGACUGUCUGAAAGGAACUGACAUGGAGCGGUUGUCAACCAAAGUGUUUUGUCCAUCUUAAGACCCUUUCACACUGUCCUGUGUCAUUGGACUGUGUGAAAGUGACCAACACAGAAUGUUGGGCGAGCGACAAGAAUUUCAGUUGCCUUCAUGUUGUCUUCUUCUGUGCUUGAGAAGAGGUCAAGCUGACUUCCAUUCAACUUUGUGCCACUGUAUUCCCUUUCUGCCCAUCUUUUUCUCAUCUACGGGAUAAGCGCAAAACUCCUUUUACAUGUCCUAAAAGGGUCUGAUAAAAGUCAACAACAUAAACCGUUGCUGAGGAAUGUGCCGUUUGAUGAAAUGUGGAACAGGCGAUAAGCGCAAGAAGUCAUAAGGGAGAAGCAACAAGCCGUGAUGGAUGUGUGCACUUUUCCCUCUGCUUGAAAUUUCCCAGAUAUAUUUCAUGCUUUUAGCAAACAAACUGCGACGUAUUUUAUCUGGCUCGCCAGCCCCCCCGAUGUGCUGAUAUCAAAUCCUGCAAUGAUUUGAUCCGCUUUGAUGUCAUCAUUCGCCGUGUCAGCGAUGUUCAGCAACGUUUUUGUGGAGCACUCCCUCACACCUUGGUCGUGCCUGUCAAAACAUACAAAGUCCAAGAACCUUUUUGAAGGCUUUUAUAGUCGCUGCUGUCAGAGACAAUGUGCUCACUGUCCGAGCUAUUUCUUGCCAUGGGCCUCAACCUAAUUCUGGCCACAGAUUGGUUCAUGCCGUGUUGCCGUGUGAAACAUCUUUUGCAACAUUCUGUGUGAAAAAUACAGGUGAAUUAGUGUUGGCUCGUGAGUGAACGAUUCGUUCAAACGAAUGAAUGCUUUCAGUGAACGAGAGUGAACGAAUCACUUUAGGAAGUGAUUCGUUCUUUUUUCCGUUCACAUGAC